GCUGAGGGUCGGACCCAGGGCCUUGCAUGUGAGAAGCGAGUGCUCAACCACUAAGCCACAAUCCCAGCCCUAGAUUCCCCCUUUUUAAAAAUAUAUUUUUAGUUGUAGAUGGACACAAUACCUUUAUUUUAUUCAUUUAUUUUUAUGUGGUGCUGAGGAUGGAACCCAGUGCCCCAUAUGUGCUAAGCGAGCGCUCUACCCCUGAGCCCCAGCCCCAGCCCAGGAGAAGGCAGCACCUUCUUUAGUCUUUGGUGACAUGUCUCCAACACUCUCCCCAUCUGCUGUCAACAUGCACCUUCCCAAGCCAAGAAUGGGGAGGAGUGAGGGACCCUGAUCAGAGACGCCUGGGUCAGCCGGUGAAGGAGGGUCCAGGGGCUCAGACUCCACUGACGACUCCAUCCCUACCUCCACCCUGGACUCAAACAUGACACCAGCAUGGUCUUGCCUCCCUGGGUUUCAGGGUCCUUGUCCAGAAAGAGGUUUGCCUCAGUGAGGUCUCUGUGCCCCCCCACAGCCUGUUCAGUUCCUUUAUACAUUUGAUUGUGUUAUUUGGUUAUUUUUUUUAAUGUUAAAUUUUUUGAGUUCUUUACAUAUCCUAGACCCACCCCUUAUAAUCUAGCAGAGGUGUCAGGAGAUAUAUUUCAAUAUGUGUAACAAGUGGGUGCAGUGGAGCACACCUAACAAUCCCAGCAACUCAGGAGGCUGAGGCAGGAGGAUGGCAAGUUCAAAGUCAGUCUCAAGACCUGGUCUCAAAAUAAAAAAAGAAAAAGAAAAAGAACUUGGGAUGUAGCUCAAUGGUAAAGCACCCCUGGAUUCAAUGUCUAGCACCAAUUGGAAAACUGGAAAUCCAUCUGUAGCAGAAUGAGAGUUAACCCCUCUCACCCUGCACAAAGUUCAACUCAAAGACCCUGCACCUACUGGAAGAAAAGGUAGCCCCAAAUCUCCAUCAUGUUGGCGGAGGAACUGACUUCCUCAACAGGCUCCUAAAGCACAAGAAGGAAAAUCAGGAAUGAGUAAAUGGGACGGUAUUGAGUAAAAAGCUGCGACACAGCAAAGGAAACCAUCCAGAACAUGAAGACAGCCUCAGAGUGGGAGGAAAUGUCUACCACCUGCACCUCAGAGCAUUCGUCUCCAGAACAUAUAAAGAACUCAAAAAAUUAACAUAAAAAACAACCAAAUAACAUAAUCAAAUGUGUAAAGGAACUGAACAGGCACUUCACAGAAGAAGAACUACAAAUGGUCAACAAAUAUAUGAAAAAAAAUGUUCAACAUCUCUAGCAAUUAGAGAAAUGCAAAUUAAAACUACACUGAGAUUCCACCUCACUCCAGUCAGAAUGGCAAUUUUCAAGAAUACAAGUAAUAAUAACUGUUGGCGAGGAUGUGGGGGGAAAUGUACACUCAUGCAUUGCUGGUGGGACCGCAGAUUCAUGCAACCACUGUGGAAAGCAGUGUAGAGAUUCCUCAGAAAACUUGGAGUGGAACCACCAUUUGACCCAGUUAUCCCAUUUCUCAGUAGGACUUAAAAUUAGCAUACUACAGUGAUGUGGCCACAUCAAUGUCUAGCAGCUCAAUUCACAAUAGCCAAGCUAUAGAACCAACCUAGGUGCCCUCAACAGAUGAAUGGAUAAAGAAAAUGUAGUAUAUAAAUGCCAUAAAAAAUAAUGACUUUAUGAUUUUUUGCCAGAAAAUGAAUGGAUCUAGAGACUAGCAUGCUAAGUGAAAUAAGCCAAUCCCCCCAAAAUCCAAAGGUCAUAUAUUCUCUCUGAUAUGUGGAUGCUAACAUAUAAGAAGGGGGCAAGAAUAGAAGUUCAUCGGAUUAGACAAAGGGGAAUGAAGUGAAGAUAGGGAAGAUGGGAAUAGGAAAGACAAUAGAAUGAAUCAGACAUACGUAUGUUCAUAUAUGAAUAGGCCACAGUGAAACUCCACAUCACGUACAUCCACAAGACUGGG
This 1950-nucleotide long non-coding RNA is filed under the name Marmota monax (woodchuck). Lineage: Eukaryota; Metazoa; Chordata; Mammalia; Rodentia; Sciuridae. The record is from RNAcentral.